RNAcentral lists this ribosomal RNA (395 nucleotides) under uncultured bacterium. RNAcentral's name for it is "bacterial SSU rRNA". It matches the Rfam family "Bacterial small subunit ribosomal RNA", at positions 505 to 898 of the family's 1533-position model. The record is from RNAcentral.
GUGUCAGCCGCCGCGGUAAUACAGAGGGGGCAAGCGUUGUUCGGAAUUACUGGGCGUAAAGGGCGCGUAGGCGGCCUGCUAAGUCGAACGUGAAAUCCCCGGGCUUAACCCGGGAACUGCCUCCGAUACUGUUCGGCUUGAGUCCCGGAGAGGGUAGUGGAAUUCCGAGUGUAGCGGUGAAAUGCGUAGAGACUCGGAAGAACACCAGUGGCGAAGGCGGCUACCUGGACGGGUACUGACGCUGAAGCGCGAAAGCUAGGGGAGCAAACAGGAUUAGAUACCCUGGUAGUCCUAGCUGUAAACGAUGGGCACUUGGUGUUGCGGGUAUCGACCCCUGCAGUGCCGAAGCUAACGCAUUAAGUGCCCCGCCUGGGGAGUACGGUCGCAAGGCUGAA